RNAcentral lists this ribosomal RNA (429 nucleotides) under Gemmatimonadota bacterium. RNAcentral's name for it is "Gemmatimonadetes bacterium partial 16S ribosomal RNA". It matches the Rfam family "Bacterial small subunit ribosomal RNA", at positions 355 to 776 of the family's 1533-position model. The record is from RNAcentral. Lineage: Bacteria; Pseudomonadati; Gemmatimonadota.
UAGGGAAUCUUCGGCAAUGGACGAAAGUCUGACCGAGCAACGCCGCGUGAGUGAAGAAGGUUUUCGGAUCGUAAAACUCUGUUGUUAGAGAAGAACAAGGACGUUAGUAACUGAACGUCCCCUGACGGUAUCUAACCAGAAAGCCACGGCUAACUACGUGCCAGCAGCCGCGGUAAUACGUAGGUGGCAAGCGUUGUCCGGAUUUAUUGGGCGUAAAGCGAGCGCAGGCGGUUUCUUAAGUCUGAUGUGAAAGCCCCCGGCUCAACCGGGGAGGGUCAUUGGAAACUGGGAGACUUGGGUGCAGAAGAGGAGAGUGGAAUUCCAUGUGUAGCGGUGAAAUGCGUAGAUAUAUGGAGGAACACCAGUGGCGAAGGCGGCUCUCUGGUCUGUAACUGACGCUGAGGCUCGAAAGCGUGGGCAGCAAACAGG